This 326-nucleotide ribosomal RNA is filed under the name uncultured eukaryote. RNAcentral describes it as "partial 18S ribosomal RNA". It matches the Rfam family "Eukaryotic small subunit ribosomal RNA", at positions 1470 to 1796 of the family's 1831-position model. The record is from RNAcentral.
CCCCUAGAUGUUCUGGGCCGCACGCGCGCUACACUGAACAGUUCAACAAGUCUUAACCUUGGCCGAUAGGUCUGGGUAAUCUCCAAAUUUCGUCGUGAUGGGGAUAGAUUAUUGCAAUUAUUAAUCUUCAACGAGGAAUGCCUAGUAAGCGCAAGUCAUCAGCUUGCGUUGAUUACGUCCCUGCCCUUUGUACACACCGCCCGUCGCUCCUACCGAUUGAAUGGUCCGGUGAAGCGUUCGGACCGUGGCCUUUGGACGGUUCGCCGUCUGUUGGCUGCGGGAAGUUCGUUAAACCUUAUCAUUUAGAGGAAGGAGAANUCGUAACA